GACGAACGCUGGCGGCGUGCUUAACACAUGCAAGUCGAACGGAAAGGCCCUGCUUUUGCGGGGUGCUCGAGUGGCGAACGGGUGAGUAACACGCGAGUAACCUCCCCUUGUCUUUGGGAUAACUUCAGGAAACUGGGGCUAAUACCGGAUAGGAGCUCCUGCUGCAUGGUGGGGGAUGGUAAGUUUCGGCGGUUGGGGAUGGACUCGCGGCUUAUCAGCUUGUUUGUGGGGUAGUGGCUGACCAAGGCUUUGACGGGUAGCCGGCCUGAGAGGGUGACCGGCCACAUUGGGACUGAGAGACGGACCAGACGCCUACGGGAGGCAGCAGUGGGGAAUAUUGCACAAUGGGCGGAAGCCUGAUGCAGCAGCGCCGCGUGCGGGAUGACGGCCUUCGGGUUGUAAACCGCUGUCGCCUGUGACGAAGCGUGAGUGACGGUAAUGGGUAAAGAAGCACCGGCUAACUACGUG
RNAcentral lists this ribosomal RNA (468 nucleotides) under uncultured bacterium. Its description in RNAcentral is "partial 16S ribosomal RNA". It matches the Rfam family "Bacterial small subunit ribosomal RNA", at positions 28 to 507 of the family's 1533-position model. The record is from RNAcentral.